RNAcentral lists this ribosomal RNA (451 nucleotides) under uncultured organism. Its description in RNAcentral is "partial 16S ribosomal RNA". It matches the Rfam family "Bacterial small subunit ribosomal RNA", at positions 331 to 796 of the family's 1533-position model. The record is from RNAcentral.
GUACACUCCUACGGGAGGCAGCAGUGGGGAAUUUUACGCAAUGGGGGAAACCCUGACGUAGCGACACCGCGUGAGCGAAGAAGCCCUUUGGGGUGUAAAGCUCUGUCAGCUGGAACGAAAACAAUGACGGUACCAGCAGAGGAAGCAUCGGCUAACUACGUGCCAGCAGCCGCGGUAAGACGUAGGAUGCGAGCGUUGUCCGGAUUUAUUGGGCGUAAAGAGUUCGUAGGUGGUUUGUUAAGUUUGGUGUUAAAGAUCGGGGCUCAACCCUGGGACUGCACUGAAUACUGGCAGACUCGAGUGUGGUAGAGGCUAGUGGAAUUCCCAGUGUAGCGGUGAAAUGCGUAGAUAUUGGGAAGAACACCGGUGGCGUAGGCGACUAGCUGGGCCAUAACUGACGCGGAGGAACGAAAGCCAGGGGAGCGAAUGGGAUUAGAAACCCGAGUAGUCC